Aethalodelphis obliquidens (Pacific white-sided dolphin) is the source of this 1831-nucleotide long non-coding RNA. RefSeq lists it as uncharacterized. The transcript is spliced from 5 exons. The record is from RefSeq and is a predicted model, not a curated record. Lineage: Eukaryota; Metazoa; Chordata; Mammalia; Artiodactyla; Delphinidae.
AGGAAGGCGCGGGUAGAGCCGGGCUCCGAGAAGGUCGCCGUGCAGGUGGUGGAGACGAAUAGGAGUUACCGUAGGCGAAUAUUCCCAACUGCAGGGUGGAAAGCCUUCAUCAAUCCUUGGGAAACCUGGGACUUCAUUUAUAGACUAUACUUCACCUCCUUCUGAAGAUACACUUGAUGUCAAGAAUUAAGGAAUGGACAGGAUGAAUAUAAAGGCAAGCCCAGCACCCACCCCAAAUCCAGGCAUCCAAAGAACACUUGGGGGCAGAUUAUGAGUGCCAGAAGAGGAUCGUUGAAACCGGCUGCUUUCAAAUCAAAAAGACCAGCAAAACCUCCAAGAUCAACAUCACAGCCUGUUGGAGAGAAAAUUAAUUACUUGCUGCAUUUCAACAGCAAAGAGUUGAUCAAGAAAGCAGAUAUUAAAGGGAACUGUGCAAGGGCAGUGUGAUCACUGAUUGAGAUGUCUGUGAAAAGAAAAAAGAAACAAACCCACCUUGUUUAUAAAAACAUUCUUUAAGUUAACUGUCUAUCUGAAAUGUAAGUACUAUACUUUGGUAUGCCUAUUAAUUGUUGGUUUUCUUUUACUGGUACAGAUGGGUUUCACCAUGAGAAAUUCAGAGCACAGUACAUCAGGCUAACCAACAAAGCUCAGUUCUCUGCUUUGUUAUCACUACAGUGAUAGCAGAGAACUGAGUAAGUUUUCCAAGAGCUAUACUUUCUUGACUAUGGUGUUCAUGUUGCCAGUGCUGAUUGUAAACAAAAAAGUGUACCAGAGAAUAUACUCAGAAACUGGUCUUUUAAAUGUCAUUCAUUCAAGAUUUACUGAGAACUGCUAUAUGCUAGAUACUGUCCUAGUCACCAGGUUAAGAUGCAAACACAAACAGGGUCCCUAUAUUUAAGAUGCUUAUAUUUCACUGUGGGAAUGUUGAGUUAUAAAUAUCCAAGCAAAAUAAUACAAAGUGUGAACAAUUAGGCAAAUCUGAUGUGAGGUAAACUGGGAGGCUAUUUCUGAUUAAGCCAGAAAGGGUCUCUUUGCAAAGACGUUUAAGGUAAGAACUGAAGGAUGACUUUUAAGACCUAGCUCACUUUUCCAAUGUACAAGCCAGGUAAAUUUUCUUUCUUGAUGGGAGUUCUAAGUAGUAGUAGGAUCAACCAUAUAUUAAUCAUGAGUAGGUUCUAUAGGCGCUCUUCUGCUUCACUGUUAUUUGGGCCACCAUUCUUAAGCUGGCUGAAGUCUCUGUACAUAUGUGGUAUUUGUGAUGUGUAGGGGAUAAGUGCAGAAAAGGCAGAGUUCUCAAUCUACAGGAACUGCCUGAGUGGGAUAAGGAUGGAGUACCAUGCACUCUGGGUUAGUAGCUGCAAACACAACUGGGCUGAACAGAGCCAACUACCUCAGCACAGCAAAGGGUGGCAAGAGGAAGAUGACACACCUAACCUGUCACUACAAGUGAUAGCAGCCUCAUGACAAUAUUGGGAGAUUUUCAUGGGCUGGUCUGUAUAACAUCAAUUGCAUCUAGAUAAAAUGUGCCAUUUCUUUAAAAAAAAAAAUACAAUACCUCACUCCCAGAGUUUAGAUCCCAGGGAAGCAGAUAUUUUCUUAUCUUUUUCUUAUUAUUUUUGCUCCUAUGUACACAAUUAUCUUCUCCCAGUUGGUACCUUGCUGGGUCUAUGUUCUCUCCAUAAAUAUUAUGUGCCACGUAGGGUACUAGGCACAUUGCACACAGUGCAAAAUAAGACAGGAGACACGGGACUUCCCUGGUGGUGCAGUGGUUAAGAAUCUCCCUGCCAAUGCAGGGACACUGGUUUGAGCCCUGGUCCUAGAAGAUCCCACA